AACUGUCAACUAACUGCCAUCCACAGAGCAGGCAAGCCUAGCUCAAGAAGCAAAACAUCCAGGAACCAUUUUUGGGAACAGCAAUGCUUUCAAAUGGUUCCAUUCUAGUUUCCACUGUGUGAAGGUCUCAAUGAAUUUUUUUAAUCCUGCAUAAAUACACUAAAAUUCAUUGAAUGAAAUGUCCAAACAUUAGAGCUGUCUACAAAAAGGAGUUGGUUGAGUAUGUGUCAUUCCCAUGACAUGCUGCUAGAAAAUAAGGGCAGGAGGAAAGAACCUUUGGAGAUAGUGAGAUGAUAGAAAAACACAACUGAGCACCACCUAAUUCCAGCUUCAAAAGUGAAUGAAAUAUAUUUUCAAUGGAGAGUAAAUGAUUUCUUACUGCCCAGUGUAGUACAAUGCAAUGUUUAUAAAAUUACAAUGCAAAGAAUUCUGAAACACUUCGUGUCUGUUUGUUUUUAAAUGACCCUUACAUUGUCUGUUAAUAGGCAUUAAAAUAAUUUUAGAAG
Long non-coding RNA from Sarcophilus harrisii (Tasmanian devil), 506 nucleotides. RefSeq lists it as uncharacterized. The record is from RefSeq and is a predicted model, not a curated record. NCBI's taxonomy places the organism in Eukaryota, Metazoa, Chordata, Mammalia, Dasyuromorphia, Dasyuridae. The transcript has 3 exons.